UACGGAGGAUCCGGGCGUUAUCCGGAUUUAUUGGGUUUAAAGGGUGCGCAGGCGGGAGAUUAAGUCGGCGGUGAAAUUUUGCAGCUCAACUGUAAAAGUGCCUUCGAAACUGGUUUCCUUGAGUGUAGACGAAGUAGGCGGAAUUUGUGGUGUAGCGGUGAAAUGCAUAGAUAUCACGAGGAACUCCGAUUGCGCAGGCAGCUUACUAAACUACUACUGACGCUCAGGCACGAAGGCGUGGGGAUCAAACAGGAUUAGAUACCCUGGUAGUCCCU
RNAcentral lists this ribosomal RNA (275 nucleotides) under uncultured prokaryote. RNAcentral describes it as "partial 16S ribosomal RNA". It matches the Rfam family "Bacterial small subunit ribosomal RNA", at positions 524 to 798 of the family's 1533-position model. The record is from RNAcentral.